ACAUUAUAAGAUAAAGUAAAUGAUAAUAAUUUGGUGAUUUUUCUUUGAAAAUAAAAUAAAUUAUAAAAGUUCUAUGAUAUUUUAUUUUUUACAAUAUAAAGAAAAUGAUAAUAAUCACUUUGUGAUCACUUCAUCAUCUUCAUCUUCUCUGAUUUUUUUCUGAAAGUCUCUUUCAUUUGUCCUUCAUCUGACGUCUCUCCCUCUCCCAUGUCCUUUAUCGGACAUCCUCUUUCUUCUUCCUCUCACUAUUUUGCUUAUUUUAUAAUUCUUUUCAUUUCUGUGUUCUUCAAUUCUUUUUUUUCUUAUCUUUUUCUCUCUUUGAAUAAUUUCAUUGAUCUUUUGUUUACUUGAUUCAAAUACAUAAAAUCUUCGAUGUUUAUUUUUUUUAAAUUUCGCCGAAAUCCAAAGGUUAUAGAAAUCCAAAGGUGAUUCCAUUGACAAUAAAGACAAAGUGGAUCUAAGAGAAGUUCCCAAGAAUAAGAACAAAGAAGAGUAGCAUAGAACAAGUUACAAAGAAGGAAGAAGAAGAAGAGACUUGAGGCGCAAGAAACGGAAGAGUGAAGAAGAUUACUCUCUUCUCUCUCUACAAGAACAAGAAAAGAAACGAGGGAGUAAAGAGACUGUGUGUGCUUGUGUAAUAAUGAAACACAAGACAAAACAGAGUGAGUGUGAGAACAAAAACAGAGAGUGAGUGAACAAGAGAAACACAGUGAGCCGUACAACUAGAGUUAAGAAGAAUGCUUUCACAUCUCUGUUUAUAAGACAUUAUAAAUGUGUACUGUAUUUUUUUAUAAGGCAAUAUAAUGUAUUUUAUAGAAGUUUCACAUCACAAUGUAAGGAUUCAUCGAGGAAGAAGGUGAGAGAGAAUAGCUAUUUCUGGUUUGGUAUUCAUGACGACGCACUACAAAGAUAAGGACCAGGAUCACGGCUAUAAGUGAUUCAACGUCGACAAAGUGAAGAGCAGUAAGCCAGUGCUUCAUUGUGAGGAGAGAAUGAAUUUUUUUUUUUUUGCUCUGGUUUGUUCUUCGUUGGUCACUAGAGGAAGAGAACAUCUAUGAAAGAAAAGGGAGAACAUAUAGAGUUAAGAAGAAUGCAGCUAAAACGAAGAACUUAGCCUCGUGUUAUAAAGAUACAAAGUUUCUUCUUCAAGAGGUUAUGACCAGAAAGGCCUGAAACCAGUUCAUUUUACUCUGAUUUACCUGCUACUGAAGAUCAUUCAUUCAUGGUGUUGUAUAAAUGCUUGUUUUAAGCUACUUGGACCAGUUUAUUUUCCAACCCUUAUAUAUAGUUUCUACACAUAUGAAUGAAUGAGAGUAUACACAUUGACAUAAGUUACAAGAACAUGUACAUGAAUAAAAAGAACCCACAGAUUCAGAGUAAUUCCACAAAAUUCAUCCUGAGUAGCGGAAACAGUUUCUUGAUCACUUGAAUGACUACUCUCCAUUGCAACUAUAUAGCAAAAUAAAAACACCAGUCAGAGAUUAUCUUAGAUAACAUAGAAGAAUUAAACUUUAUUUUAAUGGAGAUUCUAAGGAAUUGAUGUCUUAAAACAUAUUAAUUUAAUGCCAAUCAUCAAGUUUUAUCAUAUAUCACGACCUGGCCUUAUUUCAAUCAUAAACCACAUCGAUUUAAUGCCUUCCCACGACCAUAAUGUGUACAAGAGCAAUGUAUUCCUAAAAAGUAAGAGAAUCAUCAGCUACAAUUUAGUAUAUUAGUUCCAAUUUGUCAACCUAGUAUGCUUAGUUAUUUUUCUUUUCAAAGCUUAAUAGUUAAAUAAGUUUGAAUAAUGCUUAACUCCAAUUUUUUUAACAAACACACUUGCAGUAAGCUACAAAGCAUCCGUGACCUCCUCUAUUCCUUUUUUUUCUCCUAUUGCCAUGAUCAUACAUACAUGUGAUUAAAAAAGAUCUAACAACUCUAAGCUUAAAACUAUAUGAUCCUGAGAUAUAUAACAAACAAUAACUAUACUUGAGGUUAAUUAUGUUGUUUUAGAGAAUUGACCUAAUCUAAAAACAUCAAUUCUUAAAUUUGAAUAAGGAUAAAAAGAGUAACGCGACGUACCGUUCAAAACACAGAUAUCGAACCUUUGUUUGAAAACUACAAUCUGUGUUUUUUUAGGGACUGAGAACAAGCCUUUGAGUUUGAAGAAGCAGCAGCCGACGAAGUGUUUUGAUGAACGUCGUUAAGUCUUCCUUUUUUUUAAAGCUAUUUUCCUUUUUUCUAGGUUUUAAUAUAUUUUUUUGACUAUUCAUACAUGGCAAUUUGAUUGGUAAUCAAUAGUGAGGUGAAUUUAGAGGAUUCACCAUAGGGGUGAACCCAAGUUAUGUGUUCGGAUAAGAGAGAGCUAGGAAACAAGUAGGACCACUUGUCUGAUUUAAAGUUUUGGAAAUCACCACUUGCAUGCCUCGAAGAUUGUUUUUCAGACAUGCACACUGACAACUGAUACAACUACACGAAAGGAAUGGAUUAUGAUGUAGGGUUAAAAUCGUCAUACGAUUUAGUUCUAUCAACUCAAGUGCAAUUGGCUAAUUAGGACAUUGAUUAUGGGCAUAGAAGCCAAUUAUCUCUUAAAUGAAACAUAAUAAAAUAUAAAUAUUUAAUAUUUAGUGUGAUAAAUAGUGUUACUCUACCUUAAAUUUGGUGGGAUAGUGUGUGGAGAUAAAAUCACAUCAAAUUUGGUGUUUUGCUGUGUACCAUGGGAGUUGGCCUUAGCAGUUAGUUAAUGACCGAUUGCUUUCCUCACAUGCUCUCUUUCUCUCCUCUCUGGAAAUAAUAAGCCUAUAGCUCGAUCCCAUCUUACGGCAAAACUUUGACUUUCUCGGAAACAGCAUGCCGUUUUCUCGAAAAUUUAUUUGAAUUCCCAUAAACUCGGAAUCAGCUUCUGGGUCAGUCUUGAGUCGGAAAAGAUGGAUAACAAAAUUAUCUCCAUGAUGAAGGACAGCAAAGAUGGGUCCAAGAGCAAGAGAAUGAAUCGUUCACAGAGAAAACUGCUUGCCGACGAAGAGAUGUUGCAUCGACGAGCUCUGUCCAUGGCGAUUCAUCAAGCUCAGCUUUCUCAGAUAUUCGACGGAUCCAUGUCUAGACGGGCCGGGUCUACAAGCACCAGGAAACAACGGACACUCUCUGACCCGUUUUCUAAUGGCAAGCAGAAAAGGCCAUUACAAAAGUGGAGAAGAGGAGAUUUUUUCCGUAAAAGUUAGAAAACAGAAGCUGACUUAUCUGUUGGAGACAUUUGGAAGGCUGUUCGUUGCUUCAACCUUGAGGACAAGGUUGAUUUCAAAGGGGCGGUAAUGAUAAGUACGAGGGGAUGAGGUGGCAUUCACGUGAGCAACGCACAUGAGCACAUAACGUUUCACAUGGGGAGGAUGCUGAGCUGGCUUCUCUCCAACUUGCUGCUUGCCCUUUCUAUUUAAGCUGUUGUUUUCUAGAGAGAAAAGGGAUCAGAGAGUUGGAGUGAAUAAUCAGAAGAGAGGAUGCAGAGAGAUCUGAGAGAGAUGGAUUUGUAAUCGGUUUCUCUUGUAAAACAGUCUUUCUAUUCAAUAAAACAGUAUUUCCUCUUUGAUUAUCAGCUUGGUUUACGUUUGAGAUCCUACUCGUAACAACAUGGCUUACUCGUAGAGAAUCUAAAAGACGACGAAGUUGUAGAAGAAGAAGGAUUUAAGAAUCCUGAUACAUUGAAUCGGCGAAGCCACUGACAUCUUUAUUUCGUUAAUGGGUUUCUUUAUUUGAAGCAGCUGUUGUGUAUAGUCUAUGGUAAUCUCUGUGUGGCUGAGACAUGGCCAAGUCUCAGCUUUUGGUUAACGGUACCUUUGGAAAUAAUCCCACGCGCGUGAACGUAACUAGGCACUAUUACUUGAACAAAAUGAUUAUGACUGGAAUACAUUAUACUACAUGGAAACUAAAGAAUUAACACUUGAAAUCCUUUUUUGUUGAACCUUUUUUGUUGAAUUUUCAACUCCAAAAGUUGUGGUGUGGAUUUUUUUAUCAUUACAGGACAGAGGGUUCCAUAGACAGAUGAUGUUACAUUGAAUAAUCUCACUAUAACACAGCACAAAUUGGACAAAUCAUUAAGUGGCUACAAAAGGUACACAUCCAAUAAGUUCCUCUUCUUAUCCAAAACUCUUUCUCCAUAUAUAUAUAUGUCAAAGGUGCACAAGAACUUGGCCAGAAACAGAGCGCAUCUAUCUCAACAUUCAACAAUAUGAGCUGCGCCAAUGAAAGCCCUUUUGUGUCUGAAAACAUGCCUUUAGCUUCUUCUUGAUCGAAGAUCUGGUCACAUGAUUGUGCACAUACAGCUUUUUCUAUUUCCAUGAUGCAACUCAUCAUCCAACUCAUCCACUUCACUGCAUAUUCAUUCAGAGCAAAAUAGAACCUUAAGAGGAGCAACGUUGGUACUUGGUAUGACAAGUGGAAAAGAAAAUAAAGACAAAACGUGAAUGAUAGAUAACAAGUACAACACAGCUUCUUAAGAACAAAGAAAACUGUUGUGUAUAAACAUCACCAGUCUACAUAAGGGAAACUAAGAGUAGCAUGUAUUCAAAGAAUGAACGAGUUCAAUAUAUAUUUUUAUUCCAUUGAA
This is a long non-coding RNA of Brassica napus (rape), 4579 nucleotides long. RefSeq lists it as uncharacterized. NCBI's taxonomy places the organism in Eukaryota, Viridiplantae, Streptophyta, Magnoliopsida, Brassicales, Brassicaceae. The record is from RefSeq and is a predicted model, not a curated record. The transcript has 3 exons.